GACGAACGCUGGCGGCGUGCUUAACACAUGCAAGUCGUACGGUAAGGCCCUUUCGGGGGUACACGAGUGGCGCACGGGUGCGUAACACGUGAGUAACCUUCCCACACCUUUGGGAUAACGCUAGGAAACUGGUGCUAAUACUGGAUAUGUGCUCCUGCUGCAUGGUGGGGGUUGGAAAGCUCCGGCGGUUGUUGAUGGACUCGCGGCCUAUCAGCUUGUUGGUGGGGUAGUGGCCUACCAAGGCGGCGACGGGUAGCCGGACUGAGAGGGUGACCGGCCACAUUGGGACUGAGAGACGGCCCAGACUCCUACGGGAGGCAGAAGUGGGGAAUAUUGCACAAGGGGCGCAAGCCUGAUGCAGCAACGCCGCGGGCGGGAUGACGGCCUUCGGGUUGUAAACCGCUUUCAGCAGGGACGAAGCUUUUUGUGACGGUACCUGCAGAAGAAGCACCGGCUAACUACGUG
RNAcentral lists this ribosomal RNA (465 nucleotides) under uncultured bacterium. RNAcentral describes it as "partial 16S ribosomal RNA". It matches the Rfam family "Bacterial small subunit ribosomal RNA", at positions 28 to 507 of the family's 1533-position model. The record is from RNAcentral.